Solea solea (common sole) is the source of this 345-nucleotide long non-coding RNA. RefSeq lists it as uncharacterized. The record is from RefSeq and is a predicted model, not a curated record. The transcript has 3 exons. NCBI's taxonomy places the organism in Eukaryota, Metazoa, Chordata, Actinopteri, Pleuronectiformes, Soleidae.
UAAAAUCCCCUGGUUUGUGGGACUAAUUAAGGAUUAUUUUACUUUAGUUGAUCAUAAUUUAUAUUGGAAAAAGUUUCUUCUAUACAAGACGUAGCAGAGACCAAACCAGCAACACAGAAAACAAGAGCGCCGUCUUUUCACAAUUGUGCAUUUCCUGCAGCGGUGACCUGGAUCUUCUGGGACUUGUCCUUGUGGCGUAGACAAAGGUUCCCAUACCUAAGUCAGAGACUGGCUGGAGACAAGGAGACAAACCCGUCUGGUGUGUGGAUAUCCUGGCGCCUGACAGUCGCUCCCUGGCCCACUGCUGCUGCUGCUGCCGCUGCUGCUGCUGCUGCUGCUGCUGCU